GGCGGCACGCCCAACACAUGCAAGUCGAACGCAGUACCAAUACUGAGUGGCAAACGGGUGAGUAUAAUGUGGGAAUCUGCCUUUCGGUUUGGAAUAACACGGGGAAACUUGUGCUUAUACCGAAUAAGCCCUUACGGGGAAAGUUUUAAUGCCGAAAGAUGAGCCCGCACUUGAUUAGCUAGUUGGUAAGGUAAAAGCUUACCAAGGCAACGAUCAAUAGCUGUUCUUAGAGGAAGACCAGCCACAUUGGGACUGAGACACGGCCCAGACUCCUACGGGAGGCAGCAGUGGGGAAUCUUGCACAAUGGGGGAAACCCUGAUGCAGCGAUGCCGCGUGAGUGAAGAAGGCCUUUGGGUUGUAAAACUCUUUCGUCGGGGAAGAAAAUGACUGUACCCGAAUAAGAAGGUCCGGCUAACUUCGUGCCAGCAGCCGCGGUAAUACGAAGGGACCUAGCGUAGUUCGGAAUUACUGGGCUUAAAGAGCUCGUAAGUGGUUAAAAAAGUUGAUGGUGAAAUCCCAAGGCUCAACCUUGGAACUGCCAUCAAAACUUUUUAGCUAGAGUGUGAUAGAGGUAAGUGGAAUUUCUAGUGUAGAGGUGAAAUUCCUAGAUCUUAGAAAGAACACCAAAUGCGAAGGCAACUUACUGGGUCACUACUGACACUGAG
Molecule: ribosomal RNA, 666 nt
Filed under: uncultured Alphaproteobacteria bacterium
Lineage: Bacteria; Pseudomonadati; Pseudomonadota; Alphaproteobacteria
Description: bacterial SSU rRNA
Rfam family: Bacterial small subunit ribosomal RNA
Source: RNAcentral